RNAcentral lists this ribosomal RNA (440 nucleotides) under uncultured bacterium. Its description in RNAcentral is "partial 16S ribosomal RNA". It matches the Rfam family "Bacterial small subunit ribosomal RNA", at positions 338 to 795 of the family's 1533-position model. The record is from RNAcentral.
CCUACGGGGGGCAGCAGUGGGGAAUAUUGCACAAUGGGGGAAACCCUGAUGCAGCGACGCCGCGUGAGUGAAGAAGGAAUUCGUUAUGUAAAGCUCUAUCAGCAGGGAAGAAAAUGACGGUAUCUGAGUAAGAAGCCCCGCCUAAAUAGGGGCCAGCAGCCGCGGUAAUAAGUAGGGGGCAAGCGUUAUCUGGAGUUACUGGGGGUAAAGGGAGCGUAGACGGCUGUGCAAGUCUGGAGGGAAAGGCGCGGGCUCAACCCCCGGACUGCUCUGGAGACUGUACGGCUGGAGUGCAGGAGAGGUAAGUGGAAUUCCUAGUGUAGCGGUGAAAUGCGUAGAUAUUAGGAGGAACACCAGUGGCGAAGGCGAUUUACUGGACUGUAACUGACGUUGAGGCUCGAAAGCGUGGGGAGCAAACAGGAUUAGAUACCCCAGUAGUC